AGUGAACGCUGGCGGUAGGCCUAACACAUGCAAGUCGAACGGCAGCACAGUAAGAGCUUGCUCUUACGGGUGGCGAGUGGCGGACGGGUGAGGAAUACAUCGGAAUCUACUUUUUCGUGGGGGAUAACGUAGGGAAACUUACGCUAAUACCGCAUACGACCUACGGGUGAAAGCAGGGGAUCUUCGGACCUUGCGCGAUUGAAUGAGCCGAUGUCGGAUUAGCUAGUUGGCGGGGUAAAGGCCCACCAAGGCGACGAUCCGUAGCCGGUCUGAGAGGAUGAUCAGCCACACUGGAACUGAGACACGGUCCAGACUCCUACGGGAGGCAGCAGUGGGGAAUAUUGGACAAUGGGCGCAAGCCUGAUCCAGCCAUACCGCGUGGGUGAAGAAGGCCUUCGGGUUGUAAAGCCCUUUUGUUGGGAAAGAAAAGCAGCAGGUUAAUACCCCGCUGUUCUGACGGUACCCAAAGGAUAAGCACCGGCUAACUUCGUG
RNAcentral lists this ribosomal RNA (492 nucleotides) under uncultured bacterium. Its description in RNAcentral is "partial 16S ribosomal RNA". It matches the Rfam family "Bacterial small subunit ribosomal RNA", at positions 29 to 507 of the family's 1533-position model. The record is from RNAcentral.